Molecule: long non-coding RNA, 149 nt
Organism: Etheostoma spectabile (orangethroat darter)
Lineage: Eukaryota; Metazoa; Chordata; Actinopteri; Perciformes; Percidae
Exons: 4
Source: RefSeq, a predicted model, not a curated record
GAUUUUACUGUUUUCUAUGUUUCAUUUUUUUUUUUGUAUAUGUGUUUUAUUCUUGGUUUCUGAUGUGAAGCACUGUGGAUACCUGUUGGUUACUGUGAAGCGCUAUAUGAAUAAAUGUUGAUUGAUGUUAAUGAAGCUCACAAAGAGAC